RNAcentral lists this ribosomal RNA (850 nucleotides) under uncultured bacterium. RNAcentral's name for it is "bacterial SSU rRNA". It matches the Rfam family "Bacterial small subunit ribosomal RNA", at positions 60 to 889 of the family's 1533-position model. The record is from RNAcentral.
AGUCGCACGAGAAGCCUGGCUUCGGCCGGGCCGGUAAAGUGGCGAACGGGUGAGUAACACGUGGACAAUCUACCCUUGAAUUCGGGAUAAUCCCUCGAAAGGGGGUCUAAUACCGGAUAAUAUUAUUGGUGGGCAUCCACCGAUAAUCAAAGGCGGGGCAACCUGCCGUUUAGGGAUGAGUCCGCGCUCCAUUAGCUUGUUGGUGAGGUAACGGCUCACCAAGGCUACGAUGGAUAGCCGGCCUGAGAGGGUGAUCGGCCACACUGGGACUGAGAUACGGCCCAGACUCCUACGGGAGGCAGCAGUAGGGAAUAUUGCGCAAUGGACGCAAGUCUGACGCAGCAACGCCGCGUGGGUGAUGAAGCAUCUUGGUGCGUAAAACCCUGUCAGUGGGGAAGAAACGUAUUGGGAGUAACUGCCCGAUACUUGACGGUACCCACAGAGGAAGCACCGGCUAACUCCGUGCCAGCAGCCGCGGUAAUACGGGGGGUGCAAGCGUUGUUCGGAUUUACUGGGCGUAAAGGGCGCGUAGGCGGACCUUCAAGUCGGAUGUGAAAACUGGCAGCUUAACUGCAAGCCUGCAUUCGAUACUGUCGGUCUUGAGUACAGUAGGGGAAAGCGGAAUUCCAGGUGUAGCGGUGAAAUGCGUAGAUAUCUGGAAGAACACCGGUAGCGAAGGCGGCUUUCUGGGCUGAUACUGACGCUGAAGCGCGAAGGCUAGGGUAGCAAACAGGAUUAGAUACCCUGGUAGUCCUAGCGGUAAACGAUGGGUACUAGGGGGUCGGGGGUAUCGACCCCCCUCGGUGUCGCAGCUACGCAUUAAGUACCCCGCCUGGGGGAGUACGAUCGC